UACGUAGGGCGCAAGCGUUGUCCGGAAUUAUUGGGCGUAAAGAGCUCGUAGGCGGUUUGUCGCGUCUGCUGUGAAAACCUAAGGCUCAACCCUGGACCUGCAGUGGGUACGGGCAGACUAGAGUGCGGUAGGGGAGAUCGGAAUUCCUGGUGUAGCGGUGAAAUGCGCAGAUAUCAGGAGGAACACCGGUGGCGAAGGCGGAUCUCUGGGCCGUAACUGACGCUGAGGAGCGAAAGCAUGGGGAGCGAACAGG
This 253-nucleotide ribosomal RNA is filed under the name uncultured bacterium. Its description in RNAcentral is "partial 16S ribosomal RNA". It matches the Rfam family "Bacterial small subunit ribosomal RNA", at positions 524 to 776 of the family's 1533-position model. The record is from RNAcentral.